Molecule: ribosomal RNA, 1182 nt
Filed under: Enterobacter hormaechei
Lineage: Bacteria; Pseudomonadati; Pseudomonadota; Gammaproteobacteria; Enterobacterales; Enterobacteriaceae
Description: bacterial LSU rRNA
Rfam family: Bacterial large subunit ribosomal RNA
Source: RNAcentral
GGGUUGUGAGGUUAAGCGACUAAGCGUACACGGUGGAUGCCCUGGCAGUCAGAGGCGAUGAAGGACGUGCUAAUCUGCGAAAAGCGCCGGCGAGGUGAUAUGAACCUUUGACCCGGCGAUGUCCGAAUGGGGAAACCCAGUGCAAUCCGUUGCACUAUCGUUAACUGAAUACAUAGGUUAACGAGGCGAACCGGGGGAACUGAAACAUCUAAGUACCCCGAGGAAAAGAAAUCAACCGAGAUUCCCCCAGUAGCGGCGAGCGAACGGGGAGCAGCCCGGAGUCUGAAUCAGCUUGUGUGUUAGUGGAACGGUCUGGAAAGUCCGACGGUACAGGGUGAUAGUCCCGUACACGAAAGCACACUUGCUGUGAACUCGAAGAGUAGGGCGGGACACGUGGUAUCCUGUCUGAAUAUGGGGGGACCAUCCUCCAAGGCUAAAUACUCCUGACUGACCGAUAGUGAACCAGUACCGUGAGGGAAAGGCGAAAAGAACCCCGGCGAGGGGAGUGAAAAAGAACCUGAAACCGUGUACGUACAAGCAGUGGGAGCCUCUUUAUGGGGUGACUGCGUACCUUUUGUAUAAUGGGUCAGCGACUUAUAUUCUGUAGCAAGGUUAACCGUAUAGGGGAGCCGAAGGGAAACCGAGUCUUAACUGGGCGUUAAGUUGCAGGGUAUAGACCCGAAACCCGGUGAUCUAGCCAUGGGCAGGUUGAAGGUUGGGUAACACUAACUGGAGGACCGAACCGACUAAUGUUGAAAAAUUAGCGGAUGACCUGUGGCUGGGGGUGAAAGGCCAAUCAAACCGGGAGAUAGCUGGUUCUCCCCGAAAGCUAUUUAGGUAGCGCCUCGUGAACUCAUCUUCGGGGGUAGAGCACUGUUUCGGCUAGGGGGCCAUCCCGGCUUACCAACCCGAUGCAAACUACGAAUACCGAAGAAUGUUAUCACGGGAGACACACGGCGGGUGCUAACGUCCGUCGUGAAGAGGGAAACAACCCAGACCGCCAGCUAAGGUCCCAAAGUCAUGGUUAAGUGGGAAACGAUGUGGGAAGGCACAGACAGCCAGGAUGUUGGCUUAGAAGCAGCCAUCAUUUAAAGAAAGCGUAAUAGCUCACUGGUCGAGUCGGCCUGCGCGGAAGAUGUAACGGGGCUAAACCAUGCACCGAAGCUGCGGCAGCGACGCUUA